Trichoplusia ni (cabbage looper) is the source of this 231-nucleotide long non-coding RNA. RefSeq lists it as uncharacterized. The record is from RefSeq and is a predicted model, not a curated record. NCBI's taxonomy places the organism in Eukaryota, Metazoa, Arthropoda, Insecta, Lepidoptera, Noctuidae. The transcript is spliced from 2 exons.
GAAGAUGAUCAGUAACUUGUUGGAUUGGAGAUGAGUCAAAAAGUUUAUAAAGUAAUAUUAUUUCUUACUUGUUGACGGCGAUAUUAGUAAAGUCAUAGUCGUAUAUUAGAAUUAGGCUGUCAUAAUGUGUUUGUGAUGAAAGUAAGAUAAUAAAAUUUAGACUUAAUUCUAAAGUUAAUAGCAAAAGCAAAUAAAAACUCCAAAAGCGAGCAAAAAUAUACCGAAACAAAA